Long non-coding RNA from Oxyura jamaicensis (ruddy duck), 789 nucleotides. RefSeq lists it as uncharacterized. The record is from RefSeq and is a predicted model, not a curated record. The transcript has 2 exons. NCBI's taxonomy places the organism in Eukaryota, Metazoa, Chordata, Aves, Anseriformes, Anatidae.
GGGGGGCUCGCCCUGCUGGUGCAGGGGGGGAGCUGCCCUGCAGCGCGGCGCUGCCGCUGGAUCUGCUGCGGCACCCGGCCGAGCUGGGAUGAGGGAUGAGUUCGCAACGAGCACCGCAAAGGGACUAAUUAAGGGAUCUUUAAAGCUGAGCAGACAGCUCUUACCUGCCAGCAGUGUAACAAAAGCAGUUCCUAUAUCGAGUGCUUUCCGACUCGCUGCGGUGUGGUCAGGUCCCUGCUAGGGAUGGAGCCCUCGUGCUGUCCUCCUGGUCCUGCACGCCCGCACGGUGGCUGUGGUUGCUGUCAGUCCCGGUGGUGUUCCUCCACAGGCUUAGCAACUUCGCAGGACUGGGCUGGCCAAACGAGGAGGGAGUUCACCUGCCCAGAGGAGCUUGCAGAAAUCACAGUCUCUAAGUUCUGUGGAAAACAAAACAAAAAAGAGUGAAAUCAAUUCAAUGCUGGGAGAGAAGAAGCUGGCAGGACUCAAUAGUGAACACCACCCAGUAGCUGGCCUGCUGGGUGCAAUAAUAUUGAAGCAAAAAUCAAAGUGACUCUUGCAGAAGCUGUGAGCAAUAGAUGAGCUGUCUAAAUGGUGCAGCACUGGGAGGACAAAGAGUGCUCGGAAUGAGAGUCAGAGGAAAAUAUGGGGAGGGAGGCCUGUUCUUUUGAGCAGGGGGCAACUAAAUCUCCUGGUGGAAUGUGAACAUCCAGCUCAGGAUGGAAAUGCAACCAAACACACAGCGGGUUUGAUCAGAGAUUAAAAGAAAGCACGGGAAUUCUGCCUUGCAAA